Molecule: ribosomal RNA, 435 nt
Filed under: uncultured bacterium
Lineage: Bacteria
Description: partial 16S ribosomal RNA
Rfam family: Bacterial small subunit ribosomal RNA
Source: RNAcentral
AACGAACGCUGGCGGCAGGCUUAACACAUGCAAGUCGAACGCGUGCAGCAAUGCACGAGUGGCGCACGGGUGAGUAACGAGUGGAUAUCUGCCUUUUGGUUCGGAAUAACCCCGGGAAACUGGGGCUAAUACCGGAUGGUUCCUACGGGAUAAAGAUUUAUCGCCAAAAGAUGAGUCCGCGUCCGAUUAGCUAGUUGGUGAGGUAAUGGCUCACCAAGGCGACGAUCGGUAGCUGGUCUGAGAGGACGAUCAGCCACACUGGGACUGAGACACGGCCCAGACUCCUACGGGAGGCAGCAGUGGGGAAUAUUGGACAAUGGGGGCAACCCUGAUCCAGCCAUGCCGCGUAAGUGAUGAAGGCCUUCGGGUUGUAAAGCUCUUUUGGCGGGGACGAUGAUGACGGUACCCGCAGAAUAAGCCCCGGCUAACUUCGUG